This 2767-nucleotide long non-coding RNA is filed under the name Anolis carolinensis (green anole). RNAcentral's name for it is "lncRNA (ENSACAG00000041239.1)". The record is from RNAcentral. Lineage: Eukaryota; Metazoa; Chordata; Lepidosauria; Squamata; Anolidae.
AUGCCAGGAAAGCAUACAUUGAUGGGCAGCCUAAUCAAACUAGAGGACAGAAAUCUACAGGAGUUCUUCUUUUGCAAAAAAGCAGUCACCAGUUUCAAUGUGGGCCCUAUUGGUCACCUGUCACCAGAGGCAGUUCAACCACCAGGCCAACUAGGCAGUUGCCUGUGGCGCCAUCUUGUUGGGGGCACCAUCGAGGCAACUCCUGUCUCCUGCGGCCUGCCUCCGCAAGAUUCUCCAAGAAUUCCAAAUGAAUUCCAUACCUCAUUUCUAGAACUCCCCAAGUCAGCAUAACCACUAUUCAUUCUGGAUGGAGGAUUCAGGAAACUGUAAUUCAAAAGAAAAACUUAUCAAAGCUUUGAAAGAGAGGAUUCUGCUUCACACUUUACACCAUUGGAAGAAUUUUGAAGAAGAAUAUAUGAGUACAAUAAAUGUGAAGGUAUUUGUAUAUAGUCACAAUUGAUAUUUCCUGGUUGCGUACAUACUGAAGAAUAAGUGGUUGUAGAAGUGACCCUUUGAAAAUCCAGAUAGGCUCCUUGAAUUACUUAUCUCCUAUCCACACUGUACAAUUAUCACAGUUUGACAUGAAUUUAUGGCUCUAAUUCAUCCUACAGAAUCCAGGGAGUUUUUUUUUUUUUUUUUGCUUGUUUCAGCAUCAGAAAUCUUUGACACAGAACUACAAAUCCCAGAAUUCCAUAGCAUUGAGCCAUGAUAGUUAAUGUGGUGUCAAAUUGCUUUAAUUCUGUACUGUGGAAACAGCCCUAGACAUUUGUGUGGCAAUACAAGGAGCAUUUCAUACAUUCUAGAAUAUUAUGAUACCCAGAAUAAAAACAAGCUGCUUUGAUAUUUUAGAUGUUAAAACAGCAUUUGACAAUGUAUCAUGGCCAUUUAUAUAGGCUGUCAUAGUGAAGAUAAAAUUUGAACCAGACUUUCAAGAAUGGAUUAAACAGAUUUAUGAGAACUAAAGUGCUCAAAACAUGAUCAAUGACGAAUUGACAAAACCAUGUUAAAUGUAAGGAGGAACUAGACAAGGAUUCCUACUCUUACCAUUGGUGUUUUAAAUGGCAAUAGAGGUACUGAACAGAACAAUAUGAGCUAAAGCAACAUUAAAGGAGUAAACAAAGAGUCAAAGUGAUAAAUUAUAAACAUAUUUACAGAUGACUUGAUUUUCAAGAAGACCCAUUUCAUACGGGUGCAUGUUUGAACCCAAUUCUGAGUGAAUACAGAGAAAUGUGAGGAUUUAACAUUAAUAAGUAGAAAAUAACUGCUUUGAAUAUGAUGAAAGAGGCUCAAAAUUUUUACACGAUAAGUUGUUCAUAAGGUCAAAUACUUGGGAGUAAAUAUCUCUAACAAAAAUUCUGUGUUUAGUGAUAACUAUGGUAAAAUAUGGACGGAGAUUAAAAAGAGAUGCAAAAGGGGAAUGGUCUAAAACUAUCAUUUAUGAGUAGAAUCUCAGUAAUGUGCUACAGCAAUGUCAUUUUUAUUUUGAUUGUUAUUAUUACCAAUUAUUUAUUUAUUUAUUUAUUUUCGUCAUUUCUAUCCCGCCCUUCUCACCCAAAGGGCUCAGGGUGGCUUACAAAACUGGCAGAAUUCGAUGACAAUAUACAAUUAUAGGAAACAAUAUUCCAUUAAAAGAAUGGCAAAAGACUUAUCAAUCUUUAUUUGGCAAGGGAAGAUACCUAGGGUCAGAUUCAAGAUAUUGCAAAACAUAAUGCUUAUUGUGUAACAUGGUUGAAAUUUUGGUUAACAUUGAAAACAAAAACAAAAAAAACCAGCUAGAAGCAGCUGGCAUGAAAUUUAGGAUACAUCUCUUUCUUUGGUGUGAUAAAACAAAAGCAAAUUCAUAAGGAGGGUAUGACUGCGAGUUUGGAAUAAAUGCAAGAUUAGAUUUUAUUCAUAGUUGCCACUAGAUGGGUCUCCACUUGAAGCUUUAUCUAGAAGAAGAAUCUCUUUAAAAGGAAAUUGGUUGACAUAUAAGUACUUUUUAUCAGCAGUUAAUGAUCAAAAUAGGUUAAGGAGGGAAAAUGGAAUCAUGACAGAGAGUAACCCAAUUCGGUAACCCAGAAGGAGUCCAUAUGACACGUCUUGUCUAUUUUGUAUCAGGGCUUUUUUUCUCACACCUCCAAAUCCAUCUGCAAAUCUUAUAUAUAAGUAUACUUUUAAUGGGAAAUUUUCUUUUUGCAUUUUUGCCAUUGCUUUUCAAAUAGGUACACUGAUUGUACAGAUUUUUAGAGUAUAUAGUUAAAUUUUCAUAUUCUGUUGACUACUGCUUCCCCCUACCCUUUGUUGAAUGUAUGACAUGUCCAGAACUUUUCAGACUUCGAAUUAAAAUUGUAUUCAUAUCUAUGUGCAGUCCAGAGCUUUCAGAAGAGGUUUGUGUGAGAGAGCUUUACCUCAGUAAAACAGACUUCUUGCAUCUCCUGAACAUACAGAAGAAUUGUGGAGAAUGUUCAAUGUGUUGGGAAUGGAAGAGCCGUUAAGCUCUAAUCAUCCUCCUUUAUGAGGUAAAUUCCCAUUAAAAUAGCAGAGUAAAGAAUUGCAGCAGCGUGAGACUUAUGCGGUGUGAGUUUUGGAAGGCCUCUGUGUAUUCAGGAAGGCAAAAGGAUGCAAAGUUAGCUUUAAAGUUUAAAAGCAUUUAUUGAGGUAAAAAGAAAUCCAUUGGAUAGAAAAGGUUUGGAACUAACUGGCUAAUCUAUCCUGUUCUAAUACACAUAGACAGAUUAAAAUACCAAAGCUCUAUAGAUAACUACAUCUUGACUAAUAGAGGACA